Long non-coding RNA from Vidua chalybeata, 246 nucleotides. RefSeq lists it as uncharacterized. NCBI's taxonomy places the organism in Eukaryota, Metazoa, Chordata, Aves, Passeriformes, Viduidae. The record is from RefSeq and is a predicted model, not a curated record. The transcript is spliced from 3 exons.
GUUUUUUCCAUUACUGAAAAUAUUACAUUCAUCUCAUCAAGGAAGCUGAAGCAAUUUGCAACACUGUGUUAAGAAGGUUGCAUGUCUCACUCAUGUAGCAGCUAAUUACCUUAAUUGCAAAAUUGAAGCAAAAUGCUGGGGUACUGCUCAUGGAAUUAUUGUUCCAUAUGAGGCAUUUAAGACCAAGGAUGGCUACAUUGUGGUGGGAGCUGGAAAUGAUCAUCAGUUUGUCAAUGUGUGCAAGGU